CCACAGCGCUCCGGCGGGGGGCGGGGCGGGGCUGACAUCACCCGGGAGGGGGGGCCGGCCUGUGGAGGGGCUCGGAGGACCUGGGGAGACGAACAUUGCUUUAGAGACAGACUCGCUGUGGAGUUCAGGCUGGCCUUGAAUUCAUUAUGUAGCCAAGGCUGGCUUCAAACUCCAGGCAAUCCUCCUGCCUCAGCCUCCUCAGUGCUGAGAUUACAGGUGCAUGUGAUCACGCUUGGCUAUGGAGGAUUAAAUGAAUGAAUGGGUGAAACCCCACAACCUUCCUGGAAUUUGGCAGUAUUGUUAGUCGCAGCACUGCCUAACUCUGUACCUGACCCCAGGACCCUGAGGGCCUCACCACCCUGCUCCAUUACUGACCCCCUCGGGGCUCCCCAACCAGAGGCUCCUGCUGAGAAGUCCCCCCAUCAGAACACCUGGGACUCAGGUCUUCUCUGGCUUCUCUCGGGGUCCCCACCUGUCCACCCAGCCUCCUGU
This 492-nucleotide long non-coding RNA is filed under the name Heterocephalus glaber (naked mole-rat). RNAcentral describes it as "lncRNA (ENSHGLG00000045097.1)". The record is from RNAcentral. Lineage: Eukaryota; Metazoa; Chordata; Mammalia; Rodentia; Bathyergidae.